ACACGACUACAUUAGAUACCCCUGUAGUCUUAGCCGUAAACGAUACUCGCUAGGUGUCGGCCACGGUGCGACCGUUGUCGGUGCCGUAGGGAAGCCGUGAAGCGAGCCACCUGGGAAGUACGGCCGCAAGGCUGAAACUUAAAGGAAUUGGCGGGGGAGCACCACAACGGGUGGAGCUUGCGGUUUAAUUGGAUUCAACGCCGGAAAUCUUACCGGGACCGACAGCAACAUGAAGGCCAGGCUGAAGACUUUGCCGGAUUAGCUG
This 265-nucleotide ribosomal RNA is filed under the name uncultured archaeon. RNAcentral's name for it is "partial 16S ribosomal RNA". It matches the Rfam family "Archaeal small subunit ribosomal RNA", at positions 717 to 982 of the family's 1478-position model. The record is from RNAcentral.